Helianthus annuus (common sunflower) is the source of this 3141-nucleotide long non-coding RNA. RefSeq lists it as uncharacterized. NCBI's taxonomy places the organism in Eukaryota, Viridiplantae, Streptophyta, Magnoliopsida, Asterales, Asteraceae. The transcript is spliced from 7 exons. The record is from RefSeq and is a predicted model, not a curated record.
GUUCGGGUCACUAUUUUCGUGAAUGAAGCCCCGUUUUAUUUACCUGCUCCAAAAAAUUAAUACGGAUCCAUAUUUGUCUCCCCUUUUUUCCUCAAACCCUAGAAUUUAAAACCUUCUCAUUCACGCCUUCAUUCUUCAAUCCUGUGCUCCAUUCAACCUUCAUUGAUAUGGAUUUUGGUUUGGCACUUCUUCGAUUGUGUGUUUCAUUUUAUACGUGUCCAUUCCCUACCCUGCUUUCUUAUCUUUUUCACCUACCCAUCGCAGAGAAUGAGAACCAGAGAGAGAAAGAGAGGAUUUGGGAGAAAGAGACCAUCUCUUAAUUCACCCUCAUCUUCUGUUCUGUUGAUUGCGGCGAGGUGUACCCCGCGGCGGCGUUGAUUACUUUGCGCAGAUUUGUGAUGUAAGGAGUCCGCGAAGCUAUUAAAACUUGACUUCUUCACCGAGUGCUAAACGGUGCGCAUCAAUCACGGGAUAACUACAAGGACAUCGAAAGGCUGUAGGACUACGACGACCGGCUCAACGAUUCCAACAGCAAAUAUCAGGUUGUUCUUCAGUGCCUCCUCUAAUUACCUGAAGAUUGCUUAUGAUAUGCCUUAAAUUUUAAUUGCCCGUCAAGUUUUUUUGAUAAGUUUUUUGUUCUUUGGUUUAAUGUUGUAUUUGAGAAUCAGAUUGGACCUAAGUGUCACCAUUGUUAGUGAAACAUGUGAGGUUUGUAUUAGAAGACAGAGUAUAAGCUAGAUAUAAGGCAUCGAUUUAUGUUUAUAUGUUAUGCUGUUAUUCAUAUUAUUAUUAGUGUUAUUAUAUUAGUAUAGUUUUAGUGGCGGUUAUGAUAUCAACCGGCCAAGUAUAUAUAUGUAAUAUUAUGUUGAACAUUAACAUUUACCAAUUCUAAUCAAAAGAACAUAUUCAUCCCUAUUCUCUCAAACCCUAAUACUCGAUCAUAGAAUACAGAUUCAAUAAAGUGGUAUCAGAGCCACAACGAUCCAAAGUUUUUUUUUUCUAUCACAGAUCUUAUUCAACAAAGAGGAUUCAACGUUAUAAUCUUAAAACGCAACAAAUUCAAUCAUGACCACGGUGAACGGAGGAUUUCAAACACAAAUUCCAAAACUACAAGGGGCAAAACUAUUAUCACUGGCACAUUCAAAUGAAGGUAUUACUGGAAUCACAAGAUCUGUGGACGAUUGUUGAAGAAGUUUACAGUGAUCUUCCAACCCAAGCGUCUGAAAAUGAUCGAAAUGUUCAUAAAGAAAAGGUAAAAAAGGAUAAGAAGGCAUUACAUAUCAUCUUCCAAGCGGUCAGUGAGAUUGUCUUCGAAAGAAUUGCAACAUGCAGAAUUUCUAAAGAAGCGUGGGAUGUCUUACAUAAAGCAUACAGAGGAGAACACAAAGUGAAAACGGUUCAGGUGUUGAGUUUUAUUUGUUGCUAGCCAACGGAGCAAGCAGAUAACUACUUCUUGAUUAUUAAUGUUCUAAACGUAACCCGUUUUGCAGGCAUUUGUUGGGGUUGUAGUCAUCGUAUUCAUUGGUAUAAGUCGUGGAUAUCUUCCAGCAACAAGGAAGACAAGGACACUAAUCUACAGUAUUUAAAAAAUAUCAAUAAAUUUCAUAAAGCUAACAAACCAUUUCAAACUUGUGUAGAGAUUUUGUACAACAAGUUUUUCUCUCUUUUGUACACCAAAUCCCCGCCGAUUCACUAAGCAGAUGACAAAACUACCCCACCAAAGAAAGGCAAGAAUCAUGGACUAGGCUCGAUGCUAUUGAUUCAAUAUGAUGAUUCACUUUUGGGGCUAGGCUCGAUGCCUUUUGGUAUAUCGUUGUUGUUGGUUGUGAUCAUUGUGUGGUUUUUGUUGCUACCACAUGGCUACCAGCAACAACCGAGUUGGUAAUGAGAUUUCACAUGGUACUGAGUUUCUGAGCCUGAUAAGAAUACUUGGAGAAGGCUUUGAUGAUUGGGUAGAAUUUAUGCAAGGAUGAAUUUUUAUUGUGUUGGCGGCCAAAAGAGAGGGUCAUUUGAAUGGCUUUACCUUCACUUGGAAACCAGUAAGUGUACAAUUGUGGCGCUUUCAUUCUCUUUGUUUCAUUGCUUAUAUGAGCCUUAAUGUUCAUUCUUCAUGUCUUCUGAUGAUGCACCGUCUACCCAAUUUUACUCUUUUUUAGUGGACAUGUGUAGUAUCAUGAUAAUGGAAUUUCAUUUUAUUUAAGGGGCUAUGAUGAUGAAAUAUUUUAUCUAAUGUUGAGCGUUGUUAUUUAAUUGUCUUUGCCUUUUUAUCUGUCUCUUGAGUAUGCAGUCAGGGUAGACUUAUCCUCUUCAUUUUGAAGAUAAAGUAUUAUGCAUUUUGGCGGGGCAACCGGUAUGGUGCUUUUUGUUAGGGAUCCUAUAUGUGUCAAUCAGUGAGCCUUUUUGUUGUUUACGAUUGUUAACUUCACAUAUUCUUCUCGUGUGAUUCGCUUUGCCGACAAAAGCAAUUUGGUGGCAUUCGUGAUGGUCAUGUGAUUGUAGUGAAUUGCUUUACAAUAUUAGUAGCAGUAUAUGUCAAUUAUAUUACUUUGCAUUUGAGUUGUAUAACUUGGCGAAGGUUGGAGAGAAUAGUCAUGCUAUGUUACCGGACUUGAAUGCCUUUUCAUGUGAAUUUGUUUCCUCACAAAAGGCAAGUCUUGGCAGCUUAGAUGGUCAUAUGAUAUCACAUGGCUAUCGGUUAAUUUGUAAUCUAUUUUGAAAAAAUUGAAUGCCAUGAAUUUGUUUGUUACUAUUUGUAUGUUUUUAACAGCACUUAUAUUAUGAAAAGAAACAGGGCAGAGGCCCUCCAGCUAUGAGCUAGAUUACAAAACGAGAAAUAAAAAUAAACACAUUACAAACUAGGCACAUCGAAGCGGGUUAGAACUCCAAGCCAUGAAGAUCCAAUAUUUGUGCUUAGCACGGUUCUUAAUCCAAUGGAGAUAAAGAGAAAGAUCUUGACAUGGAUAUUCUAUACAACCCCCUGGUGCAUAUGGAAGGAAAGAAACUGCGGAGUCUUCAGAAGAUCAUACACCACGGAUCAAAAGGUUUUGAAAGAUACUAUUUAUACGUACAUUUGAAAAAAUUAACUGCCCAUGAUUUUGUUUGUUACGGUAGCGAAUGAGUUGCAUGUUUUAUUUGUGAUUA